CAGGUCUAAUCACUGUUACGUAUAACAAUCUCCCUAUAAGUUUUUAAUAUUGUCACGACCCAAAGUACAUCCUAGUCGUAACAUGGCGUAUAGGACCUCGAGAGACCCAAUACAAGUCACUUAGCAUACAUAUACAAGAUAAUAGAAUCUUAAAGAGUUCAAAAGACAUUUGAAUCAUAAAGAGUUCCAUCAAAAACAGAAGUCUAACAUAAGUCUCAAAGCCACUAUUGGAAAGUGAUUGAAACGUAACCCAUACAUCACAAUAUGAAAUGAAAAGAUUUGAAAGCAAUAAAGAAUCUUGGUCCUCGGAACAUGAGGACUCACCAAUCUUCAAUGUCUAUAUGGGAUCACUGGCCACGAGUGUGCGGAAUGGAAGCGUCGGACCCUACAUUAGUGAAACAAUGUAGGCACAAGUAUGCAUUAGUACAUGGAAUGUACUAAGUAUGAUAACAAUGCAUAAAGAGUAAUGAAAUCUUGCUAAAAGGGACUUUAUAUGACAUGCAAUGAUCAAGCUAAAUCAUAAAAUAACAUGUUAGAAGACAUAAGUCGAAAUCAUGGUCAAUGCAAGCUAAACAUCUUUAAAACACAUUUGAGAUACUUCUAGAAGUAACCUUAGUUCAUUCUUGUGGGAAGUUUGCCAUUAACUGACAUAGACCAUGUGAGCUAUAACAUGGAAUCUAGUGUCUAUUCCACAUCGAAAAGAGAUGUCCUUACUUGCCAAGGUAAGAACCAUAAACUUCUAGCUUAGGUGGAUCCACUAGCUAAUCUCUAUCUAAGACAACCUAUGGUGACACAUAGUUAUGUGAUAGGGAGAUUGCUACUAGAAACCCAGCCUCAACUAUGGGAGAGCUUCCAUCUUGAUAUCCUCUCGGUGCUAAUUAAGCAUAAAUCCCACGGAAUAGUCAUUAAUCUUAACUUAUCUUAUUAUCCAUGGAAGGGCACAUGAAGUAGCCAAUCAAAGCUAGAAUUCAUUAUAGCCAAUCCUAGGUGAGAAAACCUUUCAACCUUGUGAAUCAUUUAUGUGAGCAAAUCCUUUCACAAUAACUUCAUAUGUGAGAAAUCCUUUCACAACAACAAUUCAUAAAGAAACAUGCAUAUCUUCAUAAAUUCAUCUUUCAUAUUUCAAAAGCUUCAUCAUAUAAUCAAAAUCCAGAAAAUUAUGGAUCAUGCAUGGGUUCAAUUGCAUUGAACUUAAAAACAUGUAGUUAUCUCAAUUCAUGCAUAAAAAUACAUAAAACAAUCAAUUGGAUCAUAAUUGAGAGCAACCCAUGAAAUUGAAUAAAACCCUAAUUUCAAUUGGAGAACUCUAACUUGUAAUAUUGGAGAAUUUAGGAACCUUAUGGAGGAAAGAACUCCACAGGUGAAUACUAUCAUACCUUGAUGUCAAAAACCCCCAAUCAAUGGUGAAUUUGGAGACUGGAUCCUGAAACCCUAGACUAGUUUAUCAAACAUAUCAAGCCUAUUUAAGAAUGACAAGAAGGUACAUCUAUUAAUUGCCUGUGUAGACUUUGGCCUAUUCAAGAAUGACAAGAAACAACAUGCAUUAAUUAGUUUUUGUACAUUUCGGGUUACCUAAAAUGUUAACAAUAACAUACUUUUUGCAGUCUUCCAACUGGGAUCUUUGAAGGGUAGGAUGUAAGCAGAUCUUACCUCUACCUUCGUAAGUCAGAGACUAAAAAACUCUCGAUUCAAAAGGAAAGUACCUAGGAUACAAAAGAAAUGUAACAAUAAGAGGUUACCUAAAUGUUACUGAUGGUAAUCGUCCAUAAAAUACAAUAAGUUAAAUGCAAUCAUGUAUAGUUGGCUCAUCACUUCGUUUGAGUUGGAUGUUGGUUUGCAACCAUUGCAGGAAGAAUCAGUACUAAGUAAUUAGGAAAAGGAAAUUGAACAGAUAGAGCAACAACAAAAUACAUGUUUUAUCGCAAAUACUUCUUAACUAAAUCAAUCAACAAAGAAAAUAAAAACAACAUUCAGCUGCAAAAUUCUCUUUUGUAUUCAGAUUGCAUAACGACAAUCACAAGAAGCUCAGCUCAAAAACAUAAAAAACUGAAUUGUAUCGCAACUUCAAGCAACAUGAGAAAUUGUAGCUAUAACUUAUAGAACAACCUUGAAUUCCUUAAAAUACCUAUAGAAAUAACCUAUUAUAAUCAAGAAACUCGCCUUGAAACUAUAUACUCAAGUGAAAUCCUCACUAACCACAUAACUGAAAAGUAGCAAUAAGAUGAUUUUCAGUUCACUCGAGUAGCCAACAUGUCUAUAGAUAUGAUUGCACAAGUGUAUAAACAAAUUCGUAACAAUGACCACGAUUUAAUUUUCUGACUGUUCUUCCCUCAUUUCAAACAAAUCAUACUAAUUACUCCCAAACUCCAAAAAAAAGAAAACAAUCAAACCAUGUAAAGACAAAAGCAUAAAGUACCUGUAACAAUUAGCAAAGUUCAAAAAAAAAAAUUCAAUUACAAUACUUAGAAACCAGUAGAACACGAAUUGAAAAUAUUGAUUCUUAAUUUCAGCUUCAAUUCUACAAAAAUUGAAACAAGUAGAAAUAGGAAUUACUUAACAAAUCAUAUAUAUAAAUAUAUCAAAAUAUAUUAAAAACUCGAAGAGAUUUAACUCGAAGCUCCAAUUCUCCUUCAGAAAUUCAUACUAAGAACAACUCUUCUUUCACACACACAUACACUAUCAUAGAAGGUUGUGAACGUGUUCAGAAAUUUCUCAAACUUGUGAGAAAUACCAAAACCCUACCUGAAACGAAGUUGAUGAAGCGAGAUCUUCUUGCUCCUAAGCAAACUAGUAAUGGAUGACCCACUUCUCAAUGGACUCUUCGAUCAAGACCUUCCGACGAUAACCCACACACCACCUCUUCCUUAUAUGCCGAGAAGAAACCUUGUUUUCUUUCCAUUUCCUGGAAAAAAUCAAAAUCCCAAAAUAUUUUUCAACCAAACAAAUAGACUUAAGGGUUAGCAUGAACGAAAUUUCUAGGUCAUAAAUUGCAUAAUCACAUAAGAGAGUAGAAUCUAGAAAGGGCACUUAGCUGAAGAGAUGGAGCAAAAUUCUUUAAGAAUGAAAUUUAGGUCUCUGCUUCUAUUUUUUUCUGGUAAUUACUCCUUAAUAUCGACAAUGUCUUCCAAUAAUAGCAUUACAAUCAAAAUGGUAUAUCAUAACAAACC
This 3167-nucleotide long non-coding RNA is filed under the name Solanum tuberosum (potato). Its description in RNAcentral is "long non-coding RNA (STUB_LNC009680)". The record is from RNAcentral. Lineage: Eukaryota; Viridiplantae; Streptophyta; Magnoliopsida; Solanales; Solanaceae.